UGGGGAAUAUUGGACAAUGGGCGCAAGCCUGUUCCAGCCAUGCCGCGUGAGUGAUGAAGGCUCUAGGGUUGUAAAGCUCUUUCACCGGUGAAGAUAAUGACGGUAACCGGAGAAGAAGCCCCGGCUAACUUCGUGCCAGCAGCCGCGGUAAUACGAAGGGGGCUAGCGUUGUUCGGAUUUACUGGGCGUAAAGCGCACGUAGGCGGACUUUUAAGUCAGGGGUGAAAUCCCGGGGCUCAACCCCGGAACUGCCUUUGAUACUGGAAGUCUUGAGUAUGGUAGAGGUGAGUGGAAUUCCGAGUGUAGAGGUGAAAUUCGUAGAUAUUCGGAGGAACACCAGUGGCGAAGGCGGCUCACUGGACCAUUACUGACGCUGAGGUGCGAAAGCGUGGGGAGCAAACAGG
This 404-nucleotide ribosomal RNA is filed under the name Actinomycetes bacterium. RNAcentral's name for it is "Actinobacteria bacterium partial 16S ribosomal RNA". It matches the Rfam family "Bacterial small subunit ribosomal RNA", at positions 355 to 776 of the family's 1533-position model. Lineage: Bacteria; Bacillati; Actinomycetota; Actinomycetes. The record is from RNAcentral.